AGCGAACGCUGGCGGCAGGCCUAACACAUGCAAGUCGAACGCCCCUUCGGGGGAGUGGCGGACGGGUGAGUAACGCGUGGGAAUGUGCCCUUUGGUACGGAACAACUGAGGGAAACUUCAGCUAAUACCGUAUGUGCCCUACGGGGGAAAGAUUUAUCGCCAUUGGAGCAGCCCGCGUUGGAUUAGGUAGUUGGUGGGGUAAUGGCCCACCAAGCCGACGAUCCAUAGCUGGUCUGAGAGGAUGAUCAUCCACACUGGGACUGAGACACGGCCCAGACUCCUACGGGAGGGAGCAGUGGGGAAUAUUGCGCAAUGGGCGAAAGCCUGACGCAGCCAUGCCGCGUGAAUGAUGAAGGUCGUAGGAUUGUAAAAUUGUUUCACCGGGGAAGAUAAUGACGGUACCCGGAGAAGAAGCCCCGGCUAACUUCGUG
This 431-nucleotide ribosomal RNA is filed under the name uncultured bacterium. RNAcentral's name for it is "partial 16S ribosomal RNA". It matches the Rfam family "Bacterial small subunit ribosomal RNA", at positions 29 to 507 of the family's 1533-position model. The record is from RNAcentral.